Molecule: long non-coding RNA, 1674 nt
Filed under: Homo sapiens (human)
Lineage: Eukaryota; Metazoa; Chordata; Mammalia; Primates; Hominidae
Description: HSALNT0339503
Source: RNAcentral
UUUUUUAACACCUAUUAUGCCAUGAAUUCAUAGGGAAUAGGUUCCAGCAGCUCAGGCUCCUUCCCAUUGGUUCUCACAAAGUGUGCUUCUCUGGGUGGAGUAGGCUGGCGCUUUAGUUGAACCCAGGUACCUUUCUCUUUGGCUUCUUUCUUUUUCUGAUCAUUUUCCUUCACACGUUUCAGGAAGCUAUCUCGGCUCUUAGAGUGCUUAAUGUGCUCAAUACGCACAUUAAUUCUCUUGGCAAGAAUCUUGCCCUUAACUUGUUUGUUUACAACAAUGCCAACAGCAUGCUGGGUAACAUUGUAGACUCUUCCAGUUUUGCCAUGGUAACACUUGUGGGGCAUUCCUUUUUGAACAGUACCCAUUCCCUUGAUGUCUACAAUAUCACCUUUCUUAUAGAUUCGCAUAUAUGUGGCCAAAGGAACAACUCCAUGUUUUCUAAAAGGCCUAGAGAACAUAUAUCGGGUGCCUCUCCUCUUUCCCUUUGUGUUCGUCAUUUUGGCGAAUUACUGGAAGAUGGCGGUUCCGGCCGAAAGGGCAAGAUGCAUAUUGGAUAUCUAAAUAGAGAUAUCAAGAAAUGAAGAUAUGCAUUUCCAGUUCCAGAGAGAAAUUCACACUGGAAAUAUAAAUUUAGGAAUUUUAAAGUUAGUGGUCACAUUUAAAGCUGCAGAAUACAAAGAGAUCACCUGUGUGAGAGAACUGAGUCCUGAAACAUACCCGUGUUUAAAGAUCUGGGAGGUGCAGAGGAAUUAUCAAAGGAGGCUGAGAAGGAGCAGCCAGUGAGGUGUGUAGAAAAACAAGAUAAGCAAAAAGAAAAGCAAGAGAUAUGGAACUGAACUUCCCUUUGGCAAAAAAUUUAGAAAAUGAUAAUGAGAGUGAAUUGUCUGGCAGGAACAUCUGUUUAUCUCAUGGACCCAGCCAAAGUAAUCUCAUGUGCAAAUUUUACGCAUUUUCUUCAGGAGGUCAGGCCUUGGAGAUACAACAAUGGUACAAGAGAACAUAUUCACGACCACAAGAAGCUGACAGACUAGGUAUACUGAGGAAAUAAAAUUAAGACAGACUGAAGCCAAAUCAGGGGAAUCUUCAGGCUUGCUCCAGGAAAUCAUAGGAUCAAUUAUUGGACCAUCUACUACUCUGCCUUUCCAUCCCCAUGAAACACUGAGAUGAUUUAUAUGAAUGAAAUUGCUGGUGAUUUUCCAGGUCCAACAUGAGUUAGUUAGUAAAUCUUACGCACCAUGGCAGGUGGAGAUGGAGAGAUGAUCCUUAGGCAGACCCAGGUUGACCCUAGAGUUAGAAAAUAUUAUUUUUCCCCAUGCACACACACACACACACACACACACACACACACACACACCACUAGACAAUUCCUCAUAACCUUGACAUGAAAAUGCCACAGAGUGAGUGGUAAAAAUAGAAAAAUGCCUGCUUUCUGUAGCUAUAGAACAUAUGGGAAAAUAAAAUCCUUAAAAUGACAUUAGACGACAAACUUUUUGUGAUACUAUCUAUAUCCCCUCCAACAAACAGGACCCAUUCUCCAUCCCUCAGGUUGGAGGCUGGAACAUUAGAAAUUCCCAAAGGAAAAUACUAUAUGGAUAGAAGAAUUGGCCAUGGAUUGGCAGAAAAAAAAAAGAUCUUCUUUUUUAUUAUCACUCUUAAAACCUCUUAACAUUGAAA